This 234-nucleotide long non-coding RNA is filed under the name Homo sapiens (human). Its description in RNAcentral is "non-protein coding lnc-SLC47A2-2:5". The record is from RNAcentral. Lineage: Eukaryota; Metazoa; Chordata; Mammalia; Primates; Hominidae.
AAACAGGACAAUUUGCUGAGGCCUGGGAGCACCCCACUCCAGAGAAUCCCUGAUGUCCCAAAAUUUGGUUGAGAUCUAAAGUUUAUUUUGCUGUACACCUCUUUGUCUGCAGUUUUACUUACUCCCAACAAAGAAGGUGCGUUUUCCUGCCUCCAUGACGAUGGAGGGGAGGCAACUCCUUUCUGGAAUUUCAUCUGGCUUCCAGCAGGGAAGGAAUCAAUCCAAGUUCAUCUA